UACGUAGGGUGCGAGCGUUGUCCGGAAUUACUGGGCGUAAAGAGCUCGUAGGUGGUUUGUCGCGUUGUUCGUGAAAACUCACAGCUUAACUGUGGGCGUGCGGGCGAUACGGGCAGACUGGAGUACUGCAGGGGAGACUGGAAUUCCUGGUGUAGCGGUGGAAUGCGCAGAUAUCAGGAGGAACACCGGUGGCGAAGGCGGAUCUCUGGGCCUUACCUGACGCUCAGGUGCGAAAGCUAGGGGAGCGAACAGG
This 253-nucleotide ribosomal RNA is filed under the name uncultured bacterium. RNAcentral's name for it is "partial 16S ribosomal RNA". It matches the Rfam family "Bacterial small subunit ribosomal RNA", at positions 524 to 776 of the family's 1533-position model. The record is from RNAcentral.